GUGGGGAAUUUUGGACAAUGGGCGCAAGCCUGAUCCAGCCAUUCCGCGUGCAGGAUGAAGGCCUUCGGGUUGUAAACUGCUUUUGUACGGAACGAAAAGGUUCUCUCUAAUACAGGGGGCUGAUGACGGUACCGUAAGAAUAAGCACCGGCUAACUACGUGCCAGCAGCCGCGGUAAUACGUAGGGUGCAAGCGUUAAUCGGAAUUACUGGGCGUAAAGCGUGCGCAGGCGGUGAUGUAAGACAGAUGUGAAAUCCCCGGGCUCAACCUGGGAACUGCAGUUGUGACUGCAUUGCUGGAGUGCGGCAGAGGGGGAUGGAAUUCCGCGUGUAGCAGUGAAAUGCGUAGAUAUGCGGGGGAACACCGAUGGCGAAGGCAAUCCCCUGGGCCUGCACUGACGCUCAUGCACGAAAGCGUGGGGAGCAAACAGGAUUAGAAACCCCAGUAGUCC
RNAcentral lists this ribosomal RNA (450 nucleotides) under uncultured bacterium. RNAcentral's name for it is "partial 16S ribosomal RNA". It matches the Rfam family "Bacterial small subunit ribosomal RNA", at positions 354 to 796 of the family's 1533-position model. The record is from RNAcentral.